UUCCAGUAAUGGGAAUCGAAUCCACAGUGUUCCGUUUUACCGGGCAGAUGCCAUGUCCACUAGGCUACCCUGGA
This is a non-coding RNA of Cordylochernes scorpioides, 74 nucleotides long. NCBI's taxonomy places the organism in Eukaryota, Metazoa, Arthropoda, Arachnida, Pseudoscorpiones, Chernetidae. The record is from the annotation of a GenBank genome assembly.